This is a long non-coding RNA of Mastomys coucha (southern multimammate mouse), 691 nucleotides long. RefSeq lists it as uncharacterized. The transcript has 3 exons. Lineage: Eukaryota; Metazoa; Chordata; Mammalia; Rodentia; Muridae. The record is from RefSeq and is a predicted model, not a curated record.
UAUACAAUUGGUGUGGGAAGAUAACAGGGUAGCCUAGCAUACAGACAAAUUCUAAUCUAUAGCCCUUAAUGUGAAGGUAAGAUCAAUAUAAUCUGGUGGAUACACGCCUAUUCCCCGUGCUUCCCUACAGGGUUUCUCUGUGUAGCCCAGGCUGGCCUCUGGGGUGCUGGGACUAAAGGCAUGUGCCACCACACCCAGCUCCUAUUUCCUUUGGUGAUAAAGGGCAGUUUAGCUCUUGCUCUCCAUAAAAUAGAAAAGUAGAAAAUAAUGAGCCAUAUACAUACUUUAUAAUUCAGUUAGUACUGAGCUAACAGAGUGGAGGGAACAAAGAGAAACCAGAGAAUCAGGGCAGAGGCGCUCCAAACCCACUCUUCUAACUAAUACAACUGACCAAGCCUCUGGAGGCCCAGGAACAGAGAAAGAAGCAGCCUCUCUUUCGGAGCCCCAGAAAGAAAACGAAGAAAAAAAGCAGACUCUAGGAUUUCAUAAUUUGUGUAAAAGGCAUGACAUUAAGGUGAUUCUGUUGAAGACCAAAGUUUGAAAACCAUGCUAUAUGGAACAAGGCUACAUCCAUGUUCACAUUGAGGAGGGCUCGCAUGUGCCCACGAGAUCAAGCUGGCACUUCCAAGGGCAUUUGGCUUGGACCCAAGCAAGGGGAGCCAGGUGGUGGCGGCGCACACCUUUAAUUCCA